CGUCUCCAUUGAAAUGGUGUUGUUAGCUUUCUGCCACUGCUGCCUGAUGUGGGCCUCAGAAGACUCAGAGCAGGGUGCUGGCCGGGCCAGGCUCCUUCCGGAGACAGUAAAGGUGGUGUCGUGAGAAUAUGGUUCUCACAAGUUGAGGGUUGUCGGCUGGAGGCCACCCUAACUGCGGAGGGCUGCCUGUACUUCUCACUCUGGUCAUCAGAGCCAUCAAGGAGACAGUGUGCACGCAGCGCACAGCCCGCACCAGGAAUGGAUGUGCAAAGCAAGCCUCAGAAGAUGGGCAAAAACGGCACCAGCAAGACAGCGACAACAGUCGACCUGACACCCGUCUCCGUCCGCUGCCCACCAGUACCGCGGUGUCCCAGUGCCAGCGGAGGGAACUGAGGGAGACUGAGGGCUCCACGUCCUCUGAAGAAGCAAGCAGCACACACCCUGGUCCUCGCCCGAGGUUCCUGAUGAGCAGGUGUCUGGCGCCAGGACAUUGCUCCAGCGCGGGCCUUUUGGUGCAGUCCAAGGAAGACGAGGGAGGAGGCUACAUGUGACGACUCCAGCUUCAGGAGAAGCAGUGCAGGCCUUGACAACCUGCAACAAAGGGAGCAGUGAGGCCAUCCCUGGGCCUUGGGAGCAAAGCCGUCCUUCAAGGUUUGCCAAGAGCAACAAAGGAAAAACUAUCCUCACCAAGGUAUGAAGUGUGGUGUCCAGGUGGUGGGACAGAGCCGAACACUGUGCAUACAGCAUCUCCUGGGUCUUUCUUAGACCCCCCCCCUCCAGAAAUAUUUAACCUAAGUGAUCAUGAAGACACACACACUGAAUGCAAAUGUCCUGAAAAACAGAAGAUUCAGAAUCAGGAAGAGUGGAGGGGGCUGGAAACCACAUGUCACUGGGGUGGCAGCGGACCAGGACAGCAGCAGCACCAUCCAGAGCCCGACAUCAAUGCCCCCACAUCAGUGCCCCCACAGGACAAUGUCAGCAGCCACCACCUCCAGACUAAGCCACAACACGAACCCCAUUUAGUCCCGUAUUGUCUUUUGAUGCUGCAAGCUCCCAACUGCUCUGAGGAAUCUGUGUGGCUACCACGCAUUCCUUUUCAAAUCUAAA
Molecule: non-coding RNA, 1107 nt
Organism: Peromyscus maniculatus bairdii (prairie deer mouse)
Lineage: Eukaryota; Metazoa; Chordata; Mammalia; Rodentia; Cricetidae
Source: RefSeq, a predicted model, not a curated record